UACGGAGGAUGCGAGCGUUAUCCGGAUUUAUUGGGUUUAAAGGGUGCGUAGGCGGGAUGCCAAGUCAGCGGUAAAAAUGCGGUGCUCAACGCCGUCGAGCCGUUGAAACUGGCGUUCUUGAGUGGGCGAGAGGCAUGCGGAAUGCGUGGUGUAGCGGUGAAAUGCAUAGAUAUCACGCAGAACUCCGAUUGCGAAGGCAGCAUACCGGCGCCCUACUGACGCUGAGGCACGAAAGCGUGGGUAUCGAACAGG
Molecule: ribosomal RNA, 252 nt
Filed under: uncultured bacterium
Lineage: Bacteria
Description: partial 16S ribosomal RNA
Rfam family: Bacterial small subunit ribosomal RNA
Source: RNAcentral